UACGUAGGGUGCAGGCGUUAAUCGGAAUUACUGGGCGUAAAGCGUGCGCAGGCGGUUUGCUAAGAGAGAUGUGAAAUCCCCGGGCUUAACCUGGGAACUGCGUUUCUAACUGGCAGGCUUGAGUGUGGCAGAGGGGGGUGGAAUUCCACGUGUAGCAGUGAAAUGCGUAGAGAUGUGGAGGAACACCGAUGGCGAAGGCAGCCCCCUGGGCUAACACUGACGCUCAUGCACGAAAACGUGGGGAGCAAACAGG
RNAcentral lists this ribosomal RNA (253 nucleotides) under uncultured bacterium. Its description in RNAcentral is "partial 16S ribosomal RNA". It matches the Rfam family "Bacterial small subunit ribosomal RNA", at positions 524 to 776 of the family's 1533-position model. The record is from RNAcentral.